UUCUCUUCUCAGCCUUUUGGCUAAGAUCAAGUGCAGCAUCUGUUCUUAUCAGUUUAAUAUCUGGUACAUCCUCAAUGAGAAGACUUUAUAUUAAAUGGAUUUUUGAGUCUCAGCCAAU
This 118-nucleotide small nuclear RNA is filed under the name Tauraco erythrolophus (red-crested turaco). RNAcentral's name for it is "U2 spliceosomal RNA". It matches the Rfam family "U2 spliceosomal RNA". From Rfam's summary of the family: U2 is a small nuclear RNA (snRNA) component of the spliceosome (involved in pre-mRNA splicing). Complementary binding between U2 snRNA (in an area lying towards the 5' end but 3' to hairpin I) and the branchpoint sequence (BPS) of the intron results the bulging out of an unpaired adenosine, on the BPS, which initiates a nucleophilic attack at the intronic 5' splice site, thus starting the first of two transesterification reactions that mediate splicing. The record is from Rfam by way of RNAcentral. Lineage: Eukaryota; Metazoa; Chordata; Aves; Musophagiformes; Musophagidae.